AACGAACGCUGGCGGCAUGCCUAACACAUGCAAGUCGAACGAUGCUUUCGGGCAUAGUGGCGCACGGGUGCGUCACGCGUGGGAAUCUGCCCUUGUGUUCGGAAUAACAGUGAGAAAUUGCUGCUAAUACCGGAUGAUGUCUUCUGACCAAAGAUUUAUCGCCCAGGGAUGAGCCCGCGUAGUAUUAGCUAGUUGGUGGGGUAAUGGCCUACCAAGGCGACGAUCCUUAGCUGGGCUGAGAGGAUGAUCAGCCACACUGGGACUGAGACACGGCCCAGACUCUUACGGGAGGCAGCAGUGGGGAAUAUUGGACAAUGGGGGCAAGGCUGAUCCAGCAAGGCCGCGUGAGUGAUGAAGGCCUUAGGGUAGUAAAGCUCUUUUACCCGGGAUGAUACUGACAGUACCGGGAGAAUAAGCACCGGCUAACUCCGUG
Molecule: ribosomal RNA, 433 nt
Filed under: uncultured bacterium
Lineage: Bacteria
Description: partial 16S ribosomal RNA
Rfam family: Bacterial small subunit ribosomal RNA
Source: RNAcentral